Molecule: RNA transcript, 2754 nt
Organism: Cryptotermes secundus
Lineage: Eukaryota; Metazoa; Arthropoda; Insecta; Blattodea; Kalotermitidae
Gene name: fork head domain-containing protein FD5
Exons: 3
Source: RefSeq, a predicted model, not a curated record
ACCAACCAAGUGUGUGUAUGUGCAGGCAGUGAGUGCUUCAGGGAGGCAGUGACUGGCGUGUCGUAGCAGGAAAAAUAUUUUGAAUUUCAUGAACUGUACUGGCGGACUGGCAAUAAAUAAGAUCUGUAACAUAAACAUUCUUUCCGUACUUGGUGACUAACAUAUAGGGGCCAGUCAGUGAGGGCAUUUGGACUAUGGGACUCUACUACUCGCAUGUCUGUAACGCAACGUGUCCCUUGAAACUCGUGUUUAGUAACGGAAGUGGAAUAUUUGGCAAAACUGACUACAGUCUAAAGUUGACCUUGAAUGCAAAACAACUGACUCCGAAAUUCGUCAUGUGUUCAUGAAUGAGCCAGAAAGGCCAAAAAUAUCAUCGAAACAGAAUGGCCGACUUUACGAUUAUUACAUUGUUUGACAAUCAUUACAGUAAUUUUAACUGAUUGCAGUGGAAGGCUGUGUCACACAUGGACGUGAAUUUGCGUGAAACUUGAGCAAAAGAUACAUAUUCCUCUCUCUGGAUUUCAAAUUUACUCACCCAUCCUCAUGGAAUGGUUCACACAAUUCAAGUAAGUUUCAAUUACAUACCUGUCCAAAUAUUAUUUAUUUAAAUUCUGAUCCCUUAAUUCACAGUAAAUCAACUUAUUUAAAGACAAGAGAACACGGGAGAAAAAAUCUUUGUCAUGUAGUCACCGUUACAACCUUAGAAGCUGUGUCUGUAACUAUAUGAGAGGGGUAAUGGCAGUGCAGGACUGAUUCAAUAUGGUCUAAAUGACAUUCAAACAGACAGAAUACAAAUAAUGAACAAUUCGGUUAUUGAGGAGUGCUGACAUAGGCAAGAGUGGCAAUGUUUGGCCCACAGGAAGCUAUGACAAUGAGAGUCACAGUGCCGCGAUAAUGGUGAUGCAUAAGUAAGCGUCGCGAUGCCCCGGCCGAGCCGCGAGUCGUACGGGGACCAGAAGCCACCCUACUCCUACAUCUCGCUCACCGCCAUGGCCAUCUGGAGCUCGCCGGAGAAGAUGCUGCCCCUGUCAGACAUCUACCGCUUCAUCACGGAGCGUUUCCCUUACUACCGCCGCAACACGCAGCGCUGGCAAAACUCUCUGAGGCACAACCUCUCCUUCAACGACUGUUUCAUCAAGAUCCCGAGGCGGCCCGACCGCCCUGGAAAGGGCGCCUACUGGGCCCUGCAUCCUGCCGCCCUCGACAUGUUCGAGAAUGGCAGCUUCCUCAGGCGCCGGAAACGUUUCAAGCUGCCAAAAAUCGAGAAAGACGCCCUAGAAGUGGGACUGGCAUCGAUUCAGCAAGCUUCCAGUAACGACCCUAGUCGUGCGUUGCUGAAGAGUGUGUCAGCGUCGCAUCAGGCGAAACAGUACGCGGGAGCGUCGCUUCACGUUCCCGGCAAGUCCUUCAGCAUUGAUAGCAUCAUGCAUGGUGCAGUGGACACUCUACCUGAUGCGGCGUCGGCAGCGGCGGCGGCUCUGCAAGCUUUACAGCAUCCUGCAGUGCCUCAACCCAUGCUGGCGCACGGCAACUCCUUCUGCUCACCACCCUACGCUCCCAGCAUCCCUGUGGCGGCUCCGGCCUCUUCAGGAUACUUACAUCACCAUCCCCCCGUUUGUCUUCAGCAGCAAUUAUCGGGCGGGUACUCUGCUGGUGGUUAUAUCGUACACCCAGCUGCUGCUGCCGUCUAUGCUGCAGCCCUCGCUACAGCCGGACUUCUUCUUCCCCCGUUCAGCAAGCCACCACAAGCGCUUCCGAGUCUGGUCAAGCCCCAUCCUAUGAUUGCGCCGUGUCCUCAGCAGUUCGCUCUUCCUGGUCCUCCUCUGCCACCAGCCCAGAGGGUGAUGGAGUUAGAGGACUCCGCGUCGCCGCCUCCCUCGACACCCUUGCUCGAUGUUGUCGACAAUUCCACGUCUUCAUCUUCUUCGGAUUGCUUGCAGCUUCCUGGGGUUCUCUAGCAGCAAAGGGUAAUUGGGCUUGACGAAUAUGCACGACUCUCGUAUUUACCAAGAGGACCAAGGAAAACUAGGAAGUCUUAGCUGCUCUAGCCAGCCUUAGAGCCGAGAUUCGAAUCCGGGACCGUCCAAACUCAACGCAGGAGAGCUACACAAACACUGCAAUGUUAUAUAUGGAUAUGUGUGGAGGACGCGAGAAAACCAACAGCAUCGAAUCGUGUCAGGUAGAAGAACUCUUCUGCAAGAACUGGGAUCGACUCUCAGAAAUGAGACUAUAGCCUUGUGCUCAGAACAUGUGUGUUCUGUGGAUUAUCUGCAGAGACCAACGCGAUUUCUAGGACAGUAUCGCGAGGAGAGUGGAUUUAGCUGAAGAACAUUGCUUUAAAUGUGUUAAUAUUUAUAAUCUAAAUUAAGUGAUACUUAGUAUGAUAGUUAUACAGUUGAAAUACACAUAACUGCGAUGUACAGUGCACGAGAACUACCUACAUCUGCCAUAGAUUAGUCCCUUAGCGACGACGACUCACCUUAAACUCUUGAAUAUUUUUUAGUUAACAUAGCUUGAAGUUUAGAAUAGGCUACUUCAGGGCUCGUAAUGCAGCCCACCCCGUACGAGCAAAAGCAUUUAAACAAAAAAAAAAGUGCAAUUUCCUUAAAAUGUGAUAAACUGUACGAAAUAGAAUUAAUUUAGACAUUACUGUUGAAAGUCGCUUAUCGGGUGUUUGAAUAAUUCUAAGACAGCCUGGAGUUAAAAUUUUUAAAGAAAAUGUAAACAUUUAAGACUUAUGAAAACUAAAGAUAA